GCCCAGAUAGCUCAGUUGGUAGAGCAGCGGAUUGAAAAUCCGCGUGUCGUUGGUUCGAUUCCGACUCUGGGCACCG
This 76-nucleotide transfer RNA is filed under the name Sandaracinus sp. RNAcentral describes it as "tRNA-Phe". It matches the Rfam family "tRNA". Rfam says of the family: Transfer RNA (tRNA) molecules are approximately 80 nucleotides in length. Their secondary structure includes four short double-helical elements and three loops (D, anti-codon, and T loops). Lineage: Bacteria; Pseudomonadati; Myxococcota; Polyangiales; Sandaracinaceae. RNAcentral also lists the same sequence under 1 other name. The record is from RNAcentral.